GCCGGUUGAUCCUGCCGGAGGCCAUUGCUAUCGGAGUCCGAUUUAGCCAUGCUAGUCGCACGAGUUCAGACUCGUGGCAUAUAGCUCAGUAACACGUGGCCAAACUACCCUACAGACCGCGAUAACCUCGGGGAACUGAGGCCAAUAGCGGAUAUAACUCUCAUGCUGGAGUGCCGAGAGUUAGAAACGUUCCGGCGCUGUAGGAUGUGGCUGCGGCCGAUUAGGUAGAUGGUGGGGUAACGGCCCACCAUGCCGAUAAUCGGUACAGGUUGUGAGAGCAAGAGCCUGGAGACGGUAUCUGAGACAAGAUACCGGGCCCUACGGGGCGCAGCAGGCGCGAAACCUUUACACUGCACGACAGUGCGAUAGGGGGACUCCGAGUGUGAGGGCAUAUAGCCCUCGCUUUUCUGUACCGUAAGGUGGUACAAGAAUAAGGACUGGGCAAGACCGGUGCCAGCCGCCGCGGUAAUACCGGCAGUCCAAGUGAUGGCCGAUAUUAUUGGGCCUAAAGCGUCCGUAGCUUGCUGUGUAAGUCCAUUGGGAAAUCGACCAGCUCAACUGGUCGACGUCCGGUGGAAACUACACAGCUUGGGGCCGAGAGACUCAACGGGUACGUCCGGGGUAGGAGUGAAAUCCUGUAAUCCUGGACGGACCACCAAUGGGGAAACCACGUUGAGAGACCGGACCCGACAGUGAGGGACGAAAGCCAGGGUCUCGAACCGGAUUAGAUACCCGGGUAGUCCUGGCUGUAAACAAUGCUCGCUAGGUAUGUCACGCGCCAUGAGCACGUGAUGUGCCGUAGUGAAGACGAUAAGCGAGCCGCCUGGGAAGUACGUCCGCAAGGAUGAAACUUAAAGGAAUUGGCGGGGGAGCACCACAACCGGAGGAGCCUGCGGUUUAAUUGGAUUCAACGCCGGG
RNAcentral lists this ribosomal RNA (918 nucleotides) under uncultured Halobacteriales archaeon. RNAcentral's name for it is "bacterial SSU rRNA". It matches the Rfam family "Archaeal small subunit ribosomal RNA", at positions 1 to 922 of the family's 1478-position model. Lineage: Archaea; Methanobacteriati; Methanobacteriota; Halobacteria; Halobacteriales. The record is from RNAcentral.